UGGUGCCCUUCCCUGGAAACGAAACCUACGUUUCUUCAUCCACACGCAUAAACUACGUUUGGCGAUGUUGUCAUAGAGAUUAACAAGAGCUACGGUUUGGUAAAACGACUUCGUAAGCAAAGAUAAAGAGCUGUUCCCUUCACUUGGGGAAGAUUCGCGAUGAAAGUGGCCAUUCAUGGGCCUGGAGCAGACAUCAGCCAUCUCCUUCUCAGUGUGGCUGCGAGUCCCCCUCAAGGAGGAAUACUAACAAACAGCAUCCUGAUUAACUGCAAAGUGGAAGACACUGCCAUUACAAGGAAGGAACAAAACAUAAAUGGCUACUCAUUAUGCCUGUGUAACAUGGAUCUACAAGUACCCACUAAUAGAAAAGAACAUGAAACAGCAGGAAUAGAGGCCGGAAACUGCAGACAAAAAUUAUCAUCACUGUCUACCUGGAGAACCCAUGAGGAAAUAUUAGAACAAACAGGCUUCAAUGAGGUAAGUGGUUGUAAAUUUAGUUUGCAGAAGUCAAUAAUGUGUCUAUAACCACCUGGGAAAGACAUGUUUUCUAACAGCCAUAAAUGUGCAAGCCUAAAAGGAACUUAUCAAAAAAUGAC
Molecule: long non-coding RNA, 596 nt
Filed under: Sus scrofa (pig)
Lineage: Eukaryota; Metazoa; Chordata; Mammalia; Artiodactyla; Suidae
Description: lncRNA (ENSSSCG00015050952.1)
Source: RNAcentral